CCCGCCAAUUCCUUUAAGUUUCUCCGGUUGAUCCUGCCAGAGGUCACUGCUAUCGGUGUUCGACUAAGCCAUGCGAGUCAAAUGUUCUUCGUGAACAUGGCGUACUGCUCAGUAACACGUGGAUAACCUGCCCUUAGGUCUGGCAUAACCCCGGGAAACUGGGGAUAAUUCCGGAUAGAUUAUAGACGCUGGAAUGCCCUGUAAUCGAAAGCUUUUGUGCCUAAGGAUGGGUCUGCGGUCUAUCAGGUUGUAGUGGGUGUAACGUACCUACUAGCCUACGACGGAUACGGGUUGUGGGAGCAAGAGCCCGGAGAUGGAUUCUGAGACAUGAAUCCAGGCCCUACGGGGCGCAGCAGGCGCGAAAACUUUACAAUGCGGGAAACCGCGAUAAGGGGACACCGAGUGCCAGCAUCCUAUGUUGGCUGUCCAUAUGUAUAAAUCACAUGUGUUAGCAAGGGCCGGGCAAGACCGGUGCCAGCCGCCGCGGUAACACCGGCGGCCCGAGUGGUGGCCACUAUUAUUGGGUCUAAAGGGUCCGUAGCCGGUUUGGUCAGUCUUCCGGGAAAUCUGACGGCUUAACCGUUAGGCUUUCGGGGGAUACUACCAGGCUUGGGACCGGGAGAGGUAAGAGGUACUACGGGGGUAGGAGUGAAAUCUUGUAAUCCCCGUGGGACCACCAGUGGCGAAGGCGUCUUACCAGAACCGGUCCGACGGUGAGGGACGAAAGCUGGGGGCACGAACCGGAUUAGAUACCCGGGUAGUCCCAGCUGUAAACUAUGCUCGCUAGGUGUCAGGGACGGUGCGACCGUUUCUGGUCCCGCAGGGAAGCC
RNAcentral lists this ribosomal RNA (830 nucleotides) under uncultured archaeon. RNAcentral's name for it is "bacterial SSU rRNA". It matches the Rfam family "Archaeal small subunit ribosomal RNA", at positions 1 to 813 of the family's 1478-position model. The record is from RNAcentral.